UGGGUAGUCCGCACGAGCGCACCCUAUCCUUAGUUGCCAGCACAUUAUGGUGGGGACUCUAAGGAGACUGCCUGGGAUAACCAGGAGGAAGGUGGGGAUGAUGUCAAGUCAGUAUGUCCCUUAUGUCCAGGGCUACACACGUGUUACAAUGGUUGGUACAGAGGGCAGCUAAGCCGCAAGGUGGAGCCAAUCCCCCAAAACCAACCCCAGUUCGGAUUGGAGUCUGCAACUCGACUCCAUGAAGCAGGAAUCGCUAGUAAUCGUGGAUCAGAACGCCACGGUGAAUACGUUCCCGGGUCUUGUACACAUCGCCCGUCACGCCAUGGAAGUCAGUAGUACCCGAAUCGAGUGGCCCAACCUUAGGGAGGGAGCUCGUUAAGGUAAGACUGGUAACUGGGGCGAAGUCGUAACAAGGUAGCCGUACCGGAAGGUGCGGCUGGAUCACCUCCUUUU
This 453-nucleotide ribosomal RNA is filed under the name uncultured delta proteobacterium. RNAcentral's name for it is "bacterial SSU rRNA". It matches the Rfam family "Bacterial small subunit ribosomal RNA", at positions 1077 to 1533 of the family's 1533-position model. The record is from RNAcentral. Lineage: Bacteria; Deltaproteobacteria.